UGCCCUACGGGCGGCUGCAGGCGCGAAACCUCUGCAAUGCGGGAAACCGUGACAGGGGGAUUCCAAGUGCUCAUGCAUUGCAUGGGCUGUUCUUUGGUCUAAGUAACCAGAGGAGUAAGGGCUGGGCAAGACCGGUGCCAGCCGCCGCGGUAAUACCGGCAGCUCGAGUGGUAGCCGCGAUUAUUGGGCCUAAAACGUUCGUAGCCGGAUAAGUAAGUCUUUGGUUAAAUCCUACGACUUAACCGUGGGAAAUCUAGAGAUACUGCUUGUCUUGAGACCGGGAGAGGUUGGAGGUACUCCCAGGGUAGGGGUGAAAUCCUGUAAUCCUGGGGGGACCACCUGUGGCGAAGGCGUCCAACUGGAACGGCUCUGACGGUGAGGGACGAAACCUAGGGGAGCGAGCCGGAUUAGAUACCCCGGUAGUC
Molecule: ribosomal RNA, 425 nt
Filed under: uncultured bacterium
Lineage: Bacteria
Description: bacterial SSU rRNA
Rfam family: Archaeal small subunit ribosomal RNA
Source: RNAcentral